GAUGAACGCUGGCGGCGUGCCUAAUACAUGCAAGUCGAGCGAACGGACGAGAAGCUUGCUUCUCUGAUGUUAGCGGCGGACGGGUGAGUAACACGUGGAUAACCUACCUAUAAGACUGGGAUAACUUCGGGAAACCGGAGCUAAUACCGGAUAAUAUUUUGAACCGCAUGGUUCAAAAGUGACAGACGGCCUUGCUGUCACUUAUAGAUGGAUCCGCGCUGCAUUAGCUAGUUGGUAAGGUAACGGCUUACCAAGGCAACGAUGCAUAGCCGACCUGAGAGGGUGAUCGGCCACACUGGAACUGAGACACGGUCCAGACUCCUACGGGAGGCAGCAGUAGGGAAUCUUCCGCAAUGGGCGAAAGCCUGACGGAGCAACGCCGCGUGAGUGAUGAAGGUCUUCGGAUCGUAAAGCUCUGUUAUUAGGGAAGAACAUAUGUGUAAGUAACUGUGCACAUCUUGACGGUACCUAAUCAGAAAGCCACGGCUAACUACGUG
RNAcentral lists this ribosomal RNA (497 nucleotides) under uncultured bacterium. RNAcentral describes it as "partial 16S ribosomal RNA". It matches the Rfam family "Bacterial small subunit ribosomal RNA", at positions 28 to 507 of the family's 1533-position model. The record is from RNAcentral.